GAAGUGAGAAUGCUGACAUGAGUAGCGAUAAACAGAGUGAGAAACUCUGUCGCCGAAAGUCCAAGGGUUCCUGCGCAAGGCUAAUCCGCGCAGGGUGAGCCGGCCCCUAAGCCGAGGGCGAAAGCCGUAGGCGAUGGGAACCAGGUUAAUAUUCCUGGGCCUGCUGGAUGUGACGAAGGCCGAAAGUCGU
This 190-nucleotide ribosomal RNA is filed under the name Alexandrium margalefii. Its description in RNAcentral is "partial Bacterial large subunit ribosomal RNA". It matches the Rfam family "Bacterial large subunit ribosomal RNA", at positions 1285 to 1478 of the family's 2925-position model. Lineage: Eukaryota; Dinophyceae; Gonyaulacales; Pyrocystaceae. The record is from RNAcentral.